Molecule: non-coding RNA, 1443 nt
Organism: Salmo salar (Atlantic salmon)
Lineage: Eukaryota; Metazoa; Chordata; Actinopteri; Salmoniformes; Salmonidae
Source: RefSeq, a predicted model, not a curated record
GUAUUAGUUUCCAUCCUGGCCAGGGGACCAGACCCAUAGACUGGAGGUAUUAGUUUCCAUCCUGGCCAGGGGACCAGACCCAUAGACUGGAGGUAUUAGUUUACAUCCUGUCCAGGGGACCAGACCCAUAGACUGGAGGUAUUAGUUUACAUCCUGGCCAGGGGACCAGACCCAUAGACUGGAGGUAUUAGUUUCCAUCCUGGCCAGGGGACCAGACCCAUAGACUGGAGGAAUUAGUUUCAUACAGGAGAAUGAUCAGAGUCAUGUCUCCACUAUUACAGGAACAGUAUCUAUACAGGAGAAUGAUCAGAGUCAUGUCUCCACUAUUACAGUAACAGUAUCUAUACAGUAGAAUGAUCAGAGUUAUGUCUCCACUAUUACAGGAACAGUAUCUAUACAGCAGAAUGAUCAGAGUCAUGUCUCCACUAUUACAGGAACAGUAUCUAUACAGGAGAAUGAUCAGGGUCGUGUCUCCACUAUAACAGGAACAGUAUCUAUACAGGAGAAUGAUCAGAGGCAUGUCUCCAAUGUCCACAUUAGGGAAAGAAGUCACACUUCCUGUUUCCACUCAUCUUUAUUUGACUUGCUGUAAUACAGAGAUACAGGCCGUCUUAAAUCGUACAUUAACUCUCUUAACUUUUCUUCAUUUUGUCUUCAUUGAAAAUGUGUCACGUCCUGACCAUAGUAAGUUGUUAUUUUCUAUGGUAGAGUAGGUCAGGACAUGACAGGGGGUGUUUGUCUGUUUUUGUAUUUCUAUGUUCAGUUUCUAGUUUUGUAUUUCUAUGUUGGUGUUGUUUGGGUUGAUCUCCAAUUGGAGACAGCUGAUCCUCGCUACCUCUAAUUGGAGGUCAUAUUUAAGUUGAUGUUUGUCCCACCUGUUUUUGUGGGUGAUUCAUUUUGAGUAGUGUGUUUUCCUCUCUGCGUCAAGUUUUUUUUUGUUUGUUGUAUUUCUAGUAUUUAGUGUAUAGCAUUUAGUUAUACGGAAUAAAUAAAUAUGUGGAACUUCGAACACGCUGCAUUUUGGUCCAAUCCUUCAGACAGCCGUGACAAAAUGAAAGCUGUGUGUUUCUUUAUUCACCAUUUCAAUAAGGGAAGAACCAGUUUUAAUGUCCAGCAGGCUCUGACAAGACCCAGAAAGUAUUAACACUUCAAGACUCUAUGGUCAGAUGACUUUUCAUAGAGACGUCAUGGUAAAUAAUGGUAAUGAGGGGGGGACUAAGACCACAGUACACCACUACACUGGGAGUAGAGAAUCAUCAAUAGUGUUGCUGUGGACACUGGGUAAUCUGACUAACACACACACCUGUUUGACCUCUCUGUGACCUCACUGUAGGACUACACUUAUGUUACUAUUCUGAGUCAAUUCAGGUAGCACUUAAUGUCCUGUGUUUGUGUUAACCAUGGCAACCAGCGUUGUAAAUAAAGAGAUGUGCAGAAAGAUAA